This 147-nucleotide ribosomal RNA is filed under the name Streptococcus sanguinis. Its description in RNAcentral is "partial 16S ribosomal RNA". It matches the Rfam family "Bacterial small subunit ribosomal RNA", at positions 1 to 142 of the family's 1533-position model. Lineage: Bacteria; Bacillati; Bacillota; Bacilli; Lactobacillales; Streptococcaceae. The record is from RNAcentral.
UUUAAUGAGAGUUUGAUCCUGGCUCAGGACGAACGCUGGCGGCGUGCCUAAUACAUGCAAGUAGAACGCUGAAGAGAGGAGCUUGCUCUUCUUGGAUGAGUUGCGAACGGGUGAGUAACGCGUAGGUAACCUGCCUGGUAGCGGGGG